AUGAACGCUGGCGGCGUGCCUAAUACCUGCAAGUCGAGCGAACGGACGAGAAGCUUGCUUCUCUGAUGUUAGCGGCGGACGGGUGAGUAACACGUGGAUAACCUACCUAUAAGACUGGGAUAACUUCGGGAAACCGGAGCUAAUACCGGAUAAUAUUUUGAACCGCAUGGUUCAAAAGUGAAAGACGGUCUUGCUGUCACUUAUAGAUGGAUCCGCGCUGCAUUAGCUAGUUGGUAAGGUAACGGCUUACCAAGGCAACGAUGCAUGGCCGACCUGAGAGGGUGAUCGGCCACACUGGAACUGAGACACGGUCCAGACUCCUACGGGAGGCAGCAGUAGGGAAUCUUCCGCAAUGGGCGAAAGCCUGACGGAGCAACGCCGCGUGAGUGAUGAAGGUCUUCGGAUCGUAAAACUCUGUUAUUAGGGAAGAACAUAUGUGUAAGUAACUGUGCACAUCUUGACGGUACCUAAUCAGAAAGCCACGGCUAACUACGUG
This 496-nucleotide ribosomal RNA is filed under the name uncultured bacterium. RNAcentral describes it as "partial 16S ribosomal RNA". It matches the Rfam family "Bacterial small subunit ribosomal RNA", at positions 29 to 507 of the family's 1533-position model. The record is from RNAcentral.